RNAcentral lists this ribosomal RNA (497 nucleotides) under uncultured bacterium. RNAcentral describes it as "partial 16S ribosomal RNA". It matches the Rfam family "Bacterial small subunit ribosomal RNA", at positions 28 to 507 of the family's 1533-position model. The record is from RNAcentral.
GAUGAACGCUGGCGGCGUGCCUAAUACAUGCAAGUCGAGCGAACGGACGAGAAGCUUGCUUCUCUGAUGUUAGCGGCGGACGGGUGAGUAACACGUGGAUAACCUCCCUAUAAGACUGGGAUAACUUCGGGAAACCGGAGCUAAUACCGGAUAAUAUUUUGAACCGCAUGGUUCAAAAGUGAAAGACGGUCUUGCUGUCACUUAUAGAUGGAUCCGCGCUGCAUUAGCUAGUUGGUAAGCUAACGGCUUACCAAGGCAACGAUGGUUAGCCGACCUGAGAGAGUAGUCGUCCACGUGGGAACUGAGACACGCGCCAGACUCCUACGGGAGGCAGCAGUAGGGAUUCUUCCGCAAUGGGCGAAAGCCUGACGGAGCAACGCCGCGUCGGUGAUGAAGGUCUUCGGAUCGUAAAACUCUGUUAUUAGGGAAGAACAUAUGUGUAAGUAACUGUGCCCAUCUUGACGGUACCUAAUCAGAAAGCCACGGCUAACUACGUG